UGGAUAUGUUGUUGCCCUUACACU
RNAcentral lists this non-coding RNA (24 nucleotides) under Rattus norvegicus (Norway rat). The record is from RNAcentral. Lineage: Eukaryota; Metazoa; Chordata; Mammalia; Rodentia; Muridae.